Astatotilapia calliptera (eastern happy) is the source of this 1503-nucleotide long non-coding RNA. Lineage: Eukaryota; Metazoa; Chordata; Actinopteri; Cichliformes; Cichlidae. The record is from Ensembl.
GUUCCAGUUGAAGCCUCACAGUAAGGCUCUAAUAUCACAAGUAUAUACUUUAAUUAUGGCAUCGGGCAAUUACUCAACCAAAUAAUUGCUUUGAGUUGGGAAAAGGAACUGGGUCUUACGUUUGGGGAAGGUUACUGGGACAAAAUAAUUGACAAAAUUCAUACUUCAGCCUCAUGUGCAAGACUCCCUUAUUCAGUUUAAGACGGUAUACAGAUUACACAUCUAGAUUAUCUAAAAUAUACCCCAGCAUUCCUGACCUGUGCAACAGAUGCAACGCCUGUUUUUUGCCUUCCCGACACUUAAGUUAUACUGGACUUUUUAUUUUGAAGUGCUCUCUCAUGUUUUGAGCGUUACACUCCAACCAUGCCCACUAGUUUGGUGUUUCUGAAGAUGCCACCCUAAACCUUAGUCAUAAACAGCUGGAUGUUAUGUUCACUUCACUGCUGGCACGACGUAGAAUUUUGCUGUCUUGGAAAGCUCAUCACCUUCCAGCCCGAGCACGUUGGCUGGAAGAUGUUAUGUUCUUUUUAAAAAUGGAGAAAAUAAAAUUCAGACUCAGAGGAAAUGUUAAUAAGUUCUCACAGAUGUGGCAGCCUUUUAUUAUUUACUUCAGUUCAUUGAAAACACUUCCAACAGACUAAACUUUAGUACCAUGGGGUUUUCUUUUGUUCUGGUUCUGGGGGGAGUUGUUUUUUGUUUGUUUGUUUUUGUUUGUUCUUUUUUUCUUUGCUUCUUUUGUUUUGCUCUCUGUGUGUGUUUUUCCCACUUUUUCCUUCAUUUUUAUUUUAUUUUAUUUUAUUUAUUUAUUUAUUUAUUUAACUUUAAUGGCCUAAUCUGUAUUGAGAUAUAUCUUUGUGUCUGUGGUACCCUCUUUAUUGGGCCUGAUAUGUCAACUUACAUGUAAAAACUCUAUAAAUAAAGAGGGGGAGGGGCUGAGAAAGUUCAGUUUUGAAUGGGUGUAAAUAUUUUAUUUACAGUUUCUCAUACAAAAGGCAUAUAGUAUUCUUCAUGUACAUUCAUACCAGCAGCAGGGUUAAAUUCAUACUGGCCGUUGUCUGGUGGCAUCGACCAGCCAAAUGUCUGGGGCGAGUUGGGGAAGGUCCACUGAGGUCCAGGAGCAAAACUGUCCACAGCAUGAUGAUAGGGGCCCUGAUGGUUUCCACCAUUUGGGAUUGGGUUUACCUCCUGGUGCUCGGUGUACUGCUGCCUGAAUGGGGGCUGUCCCUCUCCCUGAAACUGAAACACAGACAGGUGGACUGUCAGUAAAAUAAGAAUACUUCAAGAAUACUUCAAUCAAUUCCCCGGAUAAUGACAGAAUCAGAAACAGUGCUUUUUAAUAAUAGGAGAUACUCUAAUAGGAGAUGUCUCUCUCCCUGAAACUGAAGGGGACAAGGGGACUGUCAGUAAAACGAGAAUAGUUGUUUUAAAUUAUUGGCAUUACACUUUUUUAAAUACAGUCAAUUCCCCAGAUAAUGACAGAAUCAUCAUCAUCAUCGUUUAUUU